RNAcentral lists this ribosomal RNA (839 nucleotides) under uncultured archaeon. RNAcentral's name for it is "bacterial SSU rRNA". It matches the Rfam family "Archaeal small subunit ribosomal RNA", at positions 60 to 896 of the family's 1478-position model. The record is from RNAcentral.
GAAUACCGCACCAGAUGCGGUAAAGGAGAAUUACGGCUCAGUAACACGUGGAGAACGUGCCCUUAAGUGGGGGAUAAUCUCGGGAAAUUGAGGAUAAUACCCCAUAGGUCAUGGGAUCUGGAAUGACCCAUGGCUGAAAGUUCCGGCGCUUAAGGAUCGCUCUGCGGCCUAUCAGGUAGUAGUGGGUGUAACGUACCCCCUAGCCUACGACGGGUAUGGGCCUCGAGAGAGGGAGCCCAGAGUUGGAUUCUGAGACACGAAUCCAGGCCCUACGGGGCGCAGCAGUCGCGAAAACUUCACACUGGGGGGAACCCCGAUGAGGGAAUUCCUAGUGCUUGGGCAUUUGUCCAAGCUUUUCCCGAGCGUAGAUAACUCGGGGAAUAAGGGCUGGGUAAGACGGGUGCCAGCCGCCGCGGUAAUACCUGCAGCCCGAGUGGUGGUCGAUUUUAUUGAGUCUAAAGCGUUCGUAGCCGGUCCGUUAAAUCCUUGGGUAAAUCGGGAAGCUCAACUUUCCGACUUCCGAGGAGACUGGCGGACUUGGGACCGGGAGAGGCCAGAGGUACUUCUGGGGUAGGGGUAAAAUCCUGUAAUCCUAGAAGGACCACCGGUGGCGAAGGCGUCUGGCUAGAACGGAUCCGACGGUGAGGGACGAAGCCCUGGGUCGCAAACGGGAUUAGAUACCCCGGUAGUCCAGGGUGUAAACGCUGCCGACUUGGUGUUGGGGGCCCUUCGGGGGAACUCAGUGCCGGAGAGAAGUUGUUAAGUCGGCCACUUGGGGAGUACGUCCGCAAGGAUGAAACUUAAAGGAAUUGGCGGGGGAGCACAAUCUCAUCGUUCUU